Molecule: ribosomal RNA, 253 nt
Filed under: uncultured bacterium
Lineage: Bacteria
Description: partial 16S ribosomal RNA
Rfam family: Bacterial small subunit ribosomal RNA
Source: RNAcentral
UACGAAGGGUGCAAGCGUUAAUCGGAAUUACUGGGCGUAAAGCGUGCGUAGGCGGUUUGUUAAGUCUGCUGUGAAAUCCCCGGGCUCAACCUGGGAAUGGCAGUGGAUACUGGCAAGCUAGAGUGUGUCAGAGGAUGGUGGAAUUCCCGGUGUAGCGGUGAAAUGCGUAGAGAUCGGGAGGAACAUCAGUGGCGAAGGCGGCCAUCUGGACCAGUACUGACGCUGAGGCACGAAAGCGUGGGGAGCAAACAGG